CAGACAGCAGCGCACACGUGGGAGUGAUUUGUUGUGAUGGCUAACUGAAAUGACGAGACUGGUACCAUCAAAAACAGCCAGGAAGACAUCACUAAAGUGAUUUUUUCUUGUAAAACUGUGGUCUUCGUAGCUACUUAGAUUUCACUUGGAUAAACUUUUGACUGCAGCCUUCAAUGAAACAGGGGUGCCACACAGCCUUCUCAUACUCUGCGUUGUGUGUCUUUCUACUGUGGCGGUUCAAUGUUUGUCUAGUCUUGAAUAUUUUGGAGCACUCACGACAUCUGGUGUCUAACUUCUGCAGGUCAUGAGUUGGGACUGUCUCUUCAUUUGCAGAACCACCAGCAACCUAUGAUGAGAAUGAGAUUCCUUCCUCUGGGUGACGUGCUUGUGCGGCAUGUGGCAUGCACUCUCAUACUGGGGGAUACCUAUGGGACUUAGUACCUCAUGAAUACCAGGUCCAGUGACUUUUCUGUGGUGUUCUUCAUGGCGCUUCCUCAACUCUUCAGAUGAGAAAGAGAGUUCACAGUGGAGCCGUUGGCAGGAAAACAUGCCUGGGCUUAUUUCUACAAUGGAAUUAUUGUGUUCAGCUCGUUUGGACUCAACAGAAUAUAUGGAGCAAUGGCAUGUGAUGAAAGUAAAACUGUAACCUGGAGUUGGAUGACAAGAAAUCAGGGGGACACUUUGGCCAACUGAUAUCAACAGGAACUUGGAUUCCACACUUUGUCAGGAAUUUAUU
Corticium candelabrum is the source of this 736-nucleotide long non-coding RNA. RefSeq lists it as uncharacterized. The transcript is spliced from 4 exons. Lineage: Eukaryota; Metazoa; Porifera; Homoscleromorpha; Homosclerophorida; Plakinidae. The record is from RefSeq and is a predicted model, not a curated record.